UAUUAUUUUGAAUGUAAAUAUUUAAGACUAGAGUAGUAUUAGUUAAGUUCUUGAAACUCAAAGAAUUUGGCGGUGUUUUAGUCUUUUCAGAGGAAUCUGUUGCGUAAUUGAUAAUACACAAUAUAUUAUACUUUAUUUUGUAAAUUCAGUUUGUAUACCGCCGUCGUAAGAUUAUCUUUUUAGAGUAUUAAUUUUCUUGGAAUUAAAUUAAAUUAAAUGUCAGGUCAAGGUGCAGCUUAUAGUAAAGUGUUAAAUGGAUUACAAUAAAAUUAUUUAUUAUGAAUAAUUAUUUGAAAUAUAAAUUUGAAGGUGGAUUUGAAUGUAAUAUUAUUAUAUUAUGAUAAUAUGAUUUUAGCUCUAAAACAUGUACACAUCGCCCGUCGCUCUCAUUAUAAGAUGAG
This 401-nucleotide ribosomal RNA is filed under the name Bliastes punctifrons. RNAcentral describes it as "partial 12S ribosomal RNA". The record is from RNAcentral. Lineage: Eukaryota; Metazoa; Arthropoda; Insecta; Orthoptera; Tettigoniidae.